GUAACACGUAGUCAACCUGCCCUGGAGACAUGGACAACCCCGGGAAACUGGGAUUAAUCCGUGAUAGGUCAUCCCAUCUGGAAGGAGGGAUGGCUUAAAGGGGCGCGCGGGCUUCUUCUGCGCGUCCGCUCCAGGAUGGGACUGCGUCCGAUCAGGCUGUUGGCGGGGUAAUGGCCCACCAAACCUGUAACCGGUACGGGCCUUGAGAGAGGUGGCCCGGAGAUGGACACUGAGAGAAGGGUCCAGGUCCUACGGGGCGCAGCAGGCGGGAAACCUUCGCAAUGCGCGAAAGCGUGACGAGGUUAAUCCGAGUGGUCCCCGCUGAGGGGACCUUUUGUCAGCUGUAAAUAGGCGGGCGAAUAAGGGGAGGGCAAGCCUGGUGUCAGCCGCCGCGGUAAUACCAGCUCCUCGAGUGGUCGGGGCGAUUAUUGGGCCUAAAGCAUCCGUAGCCGGUUCCGUAGGUCCUCUGUUAAAUCCACCCGCUCAACGGGUGACCUGCAGAGGAUACCGCGGGACU
Molecule: ribosomal RNA, 517 nt
Filed under: uncultured archaeon
Lineage: Archaea
Description: bacterial SSU rRNA
Rfam family: Archaeal small subunit ribosomal RNA
Source: RNAcentral